ACGAACGCUGGCGGCGUGCUUAACACAUGCAAGUCGAACGGAAAGGCCCUGCUUUUGUGGGGUGCUCGAGUGGCGAACGGGUGAGUAACACGUGAGUAACCUGCCCUUGACUUUGGGAUAACUUCAGGAAACUGGGGCUAAUACCGGAUAGGAGCUCCUGCUGCAUGGUGGGGGUUGGAAAGUUUCGGCGGUUGGGGAUGGACUCGCGGCUUAUCAGCUUGUUGGUGGGGUAGUGGCUUACCAAGGCUUUGACGGGUAGCCGGCCUGAGAGGGUGACCGGCCACAUUGGGACUGAGAUACGGCCCAGACUCCUACGGGAGGCAGCAGUGGGGAAUAUUGCACAAUGGGCGGAAGCCUGAUGCAGCAACGCCGCGUGCGGGAUGACGGCCUUCGGGUUGUAAACCGCUUUCGACUGUGACGAAGCGUGAGUGACGGUAAUGGGUAAAGAAGCACCGGCUAACUACGUG
RNAcentral lists this ribosomal RNA (467 nucleotides) under uncultured bacterium. RNAcentral describes it as "partial 16S ribosomal RNA". It matches the Rfam family "Bacterial small subunit ribosomal RNA", at positions 29 to 507 of the family's 1533-position model. The record is from RNAcentral.